CAGCCGCCGCGGUAAUACCGGCGGCCCGAGUGGCGGUCACUAUUAUUGGGCUUAAAGCGUCCGUAGCCGGGUUGGGAAGUCCUCCGGGAAAUCUGGCCGCUUAAAGGUCAGAAUGCCGGAGGAUACUCCCAGCCUAGGGAGCGGGAGAGGCCGAGGGUAUUCCCGGGGUAGGGGGGAAAUCCUAUAAUCCCGGGAGGACCACCUGUGGCGAAGGCGCUCGGCUGGAACGCGUCCGACGGUGAGGGACGAAGGCCAGGGGAGCAAACCGGAUUAGAUACCCGGGUAGUCCUGGCUGUAAACGAUGCGGACUUUGUGUCGGACAAGCUAUGAGCUUGUCCGGUGCCGGAGGGAAACCGUUAAGUCCGCCGCCUGGGGAGUACGGCCGCAAGGCUGAAACUUAAAGGAAUUGGCGGG
This 414-nucleotide ribosomal RNA is filed under the name uncultured microorganism. RNAcentral's name for it is "bacterial SSU rRNA". It matches the Rfam family "Archaeal small subunit ribosomal RNA", at positions 459 to 872 of the family's 1478-position model. The record is from RNAcentral.